Molecule: transfer RNA, 91 nt
Filed under: Tremellales sp. Tagirdzhanova-0007
Lineage: Eukaryota; Fungi; Basidiomycota; Tremellomycetes; Tremellales
Description: tRNA-Met
Source: RNAcentral
AUCAGAAUAGGCGAGUGGUUUUACGCCAACAGGCCCAUAUUGCGAAAGCUCUGUGACCUGUAGGUCCCUGGAUCGAAACCAGGUUCUGAUA